RNAcentral lists this long non-coding RNA (1404 nucleotides) under Homo sapiens (human). RNAcentral's name for it is "long intergenic non-protein coding RNA 2377". Lineage: Eukaryota; Metazoa; Chordata; Mammalia; Primates; Hominidae. The record is from RNAcentral.
AGAUAAGGGAAGCAGGCCUCCGAAGCCAGCAGUGGCAACCCACUUGGGUCCCUUUCAAUGCUGUGGAAGCGUUGUUCUUUCACUCUUCUCAAUAAAUCUUGCUGCUGCUCACUCUUUGGGUCUGCCCCGCUGUUAUGAGCUGUAACACUCACAGCCAGUGUCUGCAGUUUCACUCCUGAAGCCAGCAAGACCACAAACCCACAGGGCGGGACAAACAACUCCGGACAGGAGGAAUGAACAACUCUGGACGCGCCACUUCUAUGAACUUUUAUGAACUGUAACACUCACCGCAAAGGUCUGCAGCUUCACCCCUGAGGCCAGGGAGACCACGAACCCACCGGAAGGAAUGAACAACUCCAGACGCACUGCCUUUAAGAGCUGUAACACUUACCACGGAUGUCUGCAGCUUCACUCCUGAAGUCAGCGAGACCACAAACCCAACAGAAGGAAGAAACUCCCGACACAUCUGAACAUCUGAAGGAACAAACUCUGGACACACCAUCUUUAAGAACUGUAACACUCACCGUGAGGGUCAACCGCUUCAUUCUUGAAGUCAGCCAGACCAAGAACCCACCAAUUCCGAGUCUCACUUUGUUGCCUAAGCUAGAGUGCAGCGUCGUGAUCAAGGCUCACUGCAGCCUCAACAUCCUGAUCCCCAGUGUUCCUCCCACCUCAACCUCCCAAGUAGCUGGGACCACAGAUGAAUGCCAGAUGCCUCUAGUGAGCCACCUUGAAUCACUAUUCUGAAUACAUCUUGAGUAAAAAGAGAAAAUUGCUCAUGUUUCCAUGUCUAUCUGAAUCAUGUUAUUGGACCAUGAGAGCAAGCAGCUGGAUCUCAUUCUGUCCAGGGUUUCAUCAUUUUUGGCCAUGCUGGCCUUGAACGCCUAACCUCAAAUGAUCCACCUGCCUUGGCCUCCUGAAGUUCUGGGAGUUAUAGGCAUGAGUCACCAUGCCUGGCACCACAUAAAAUUAUUUUGUCAUUAACAUUACAUUUUAAAAUACAAACGCUGUUUUCCAUAUUACUCAGGUCAGAUCUUUUACCCCACUUCUCUCAGUGAGAUUGCAUUAUUUAUUUCCAUCUCUAUAAUCUACUGUUCAUCCAUCUAUCUAUCCAUCCCUCAAUUUAGUUUUUUCACUACAUUCUGCAUUUGAUUCUUUUGAGGGUGUAUGCUUGUGUUUGUGCGUGGAAGUGGGGGUGUGUGUGUGUGUGUGUGUUCAAAAAGGUCUACAGUUUCCUUUUUCUGUAAUAUCUGUGUCUGCUGUUGGUAUUAGGGUAAUGCUGAACUCAUAGAGUAUGUGAAAAGUUUUCUACAUUCUUUGAUUUUUCUGAAAGAAAUUGUGCAGAAUUCAUAUUAUUUCUUUCUUAAAUGCUCAAGUGUUUAUUAAAAUUUACCAGUAAAAUAU